GACAGAGGCCACGAACGUUGUUCGGAAUCACUGGGCAUAAAGCGCACGUAGGCGGCUGGGUCCGUCCGAUGUGAAAUCCCCGGGCUCAACCUGGGAACUGCAUUCGAAACUGCCUUGCUCGAGUAUGGGAGAGGGAAGUGGAAUUUCCGGUGUAGCGGUGAAAUGCGUAGAUAUCGGAAGGAACAUCAGUGGCGAAGGCGACUUCCUGGACCAAUACUGACGCUCAGGUGCGAAAGCGUGGGGAGCAAACAGG
RNAcentral lists this ribosomal RNA (253 nucleotides) under uncultured bacterium. RNAcentral describes it as "partial 16S ribosomal RNA". It matches the Rfam family "Bacterial small subunit ribosomal RNA", at positions 524 to 776 of the family's 1533-position model. The record is from RNAcentral.